GUAGCUGUGGCUGAGCUCACUGGGAGGCACAGCCUGAAAUACAUGAGGAGCAGAAAUAAAACAUAAAAUAAUACCCUGCAGAGUCAGGAAAAAAGGCACUAAUUAUCACCAUGGAGAGGCCUGGCUGUGUUUAAACUUUGAAAAAACAAAAAAAACCUUGGAACUUUUUGGUAUUUGGAAAAGGAGCUAAUUUUCAUCCAGGUGAAAAUUAAAUCACACUUCUUUAUCUUUCCUGACAUUUUGCUAAAAGCUACUUGACAGUGAAACAGGAUAAGAAGGGAAUAAUGAUGGAUAAAUGUUCAGGAUUUCCAUUCAGAAUAAUCCUGUAAAUUGUCU
Long non-coding RNA from Hirundo rustica (Barn swallow), 336 nucleotides. RefSeq lists it as uncharacterized. The transcript is spliced from 3 exons. NCBI's taxonomy places the organism in Eukaryota, Metazoa, Chordata, Aves, Passeriformes, Hirundinidae. The record is from RefSeq and is a predicted model, not a curated record.